Molecule: ribosomal RNA, 252 nt
Filed under: uncultured bacterium
Lineage: Bacteria
Description: partial 16S ribosomal RNA
Rfam family: Bacterial small subunit ribosomal RNA
Source: RNAcentral
UACGUAGGCCCCGAGCGUUGUCCGGAUUUAUUGGGCGUAAAGCGAGCGCAGGUGGUUUAUUAAGUCUGGUGUAAAAGGCAGUGGCUCAACCAUUGUAUGCAUUGGAAACUGGUAGACUUGAGUGCAGGAGAGGAGAGUGGAAUUCCGUGUGUAGCGGUGAAAUGCGUAGAUAUAUGGAGGAACACCGGUGGCGAAAGCGGCUCUCUGGCCUGUAACUGACACUGAGGCUCGAAAGCGUGGGGAGCAAACAGG